CUCCUACAUUUCUCCUUUUCUUUGGUUAGAUUUCUUAAUCUAAGAAAUUGUCAUAUAUUGUGCUUAGGUACUGUUUUAUCAGCCAUAUGUAUGUUGAAGUAAUGUUUAUGCACUAUUUCAUACCCCUUUUCUUCAGAUGAGAAGCCCACCACAUCUGAUCAUUCAUGCAUCUUUAUCAGGGCAUUUCCACUGGGCUUCCUGAGACUGAGAGGUUGCAAUUGCCACUUAUACGAACACUAGCAGAACUGGAGAAACUAUCCAAUACAAGCACCUGAUUUGCUGUUGAAUAUGAUUGUGUACCUGCGUACCAGUGUUCACGGGGUCAUACCCACUUGUGAGACAAAGUAUUCUUCUCUGAUCAAUGGGACAACAGGAUAAUAGGAAGACACAGCUCAGGUUUAUUUACUGCUGCUUAUCUGUUUUUCAUGACUUCAUCAACCCGUAAAAGAUUCUUCUACACUUGAAGCCAUAUUAAAUAAGCCACAUUCAAUAUAAACUUCUUGAUAAUCAUGAAUAUAGAAAUGGAACUUUAUCUCGAGUUGAGAAUUGGAGAUUGAUAUGAAGUAUGAAGGUUUAUCGCAUGGUAAUAGUCAGUCACAGCUAGUAAUUUUUGUUAUGAUUGUGUUCUUUUGUUGUAGUAAAUUUAUAAAUUUAUUAGGGAAGUUGGUGAACUGCCAGAGAAACAAUACAUACAGCAUUCAUGAUGUCCAAUAGUAAUGCGUGGUGCAUCUCUUGCACAGACAUUUUAACAUACAGCAUUGGAGUCGUAUAGAUUAUGGUGCAUUUGUUGACUCCUGAUCUCAUUGUCAUCGGACGAGUGCAUCAUGGAGUAACAUGUUCAGUUCUUUGGUAGCUGUGCUUUGCUGAGUUCCUUUGUUUUCUUGAGAUCCACGUACAUGAUGAAUUCCUUUGUUUUGUUUGUCAACUUGGAAAUUCUGCUGACUGAAACUUUCCACGGUAAGUGCCCCGUCUGUUUUGAGAAUGUGAACAGGAACUUUGUGAAUGAUAACCUGCAAACCUAAAUGGGAAGCAUUCUGCAGCUCUUAUGUGAAGGUUGGAUAUUAGUUAAGUUUUGAAUUUCUGUCCACAUCUUGUCUCAAACCUGCAGCUACAUCUUGCCCCAUGCCUGCAAGAAUGCAGAUCGGGAGGCCAGUUUUGUGGUCUCGUUUUAUUUGAACCAUAUAACGAUGCAUUUGUAGGUACGGCCGCAAACAAGAGAGUAACCGUCGAUGGCUGACACAGGAGUGUAGGAGACAUCAAGACUAGCUGAGAUCAGCCGUGGUUCUUCAGAGGAAGUGGCCCUUGUCUGAGCUGCAUAGUUCUUGAGAUGAAGAGCAACAAAGCUUUUCAGUUUUAAUGGACAAUAUCAUGCUGAAGUGCCAUCGACUAUUGUAUCCUCUCUAUGUGAUUUAUCAUUGCAAGAUGGGAUAUCAAAGUAUUUAUCAUGCUGCUUCUUUCAUGGCUGGUGUGAUGACGACAGAGAUAAGCCAUUCAAAGUUCUUUGCUGGUAACAAGGCAGUUUGCGGUUUGCUUGGUCAGAAACAUGGUUCUGGAUGCUGAUUGACGUAGUUGGUGCUUCAGUCCUAUGAGUAACCACUUUCAUUGUACCUGAUUUUGAUUGAUUACCUUGUCUGAUGAAUAGUUGUUCAGUUCACAUGACCAGACAUUGUGAAACAUUACUUGAUUGAUUUAUAUCUUGCUGCUUGGUGCA
Aegilops tauschii subsp. strangulata is the source of this 1711-nucleotide non-coding RNA. The record is from RefSeq and is a predicted model, not a curated record. NCBI's taxonomy places the organism in Eukaryota, Viridiplantae, Streptophyta, Magnoliopsida, Poales, Poaceae.